UGACGUAUAACACGCUCAGCCUACGACA
RNAcentral lists this small RNA (28 nucleotides) under Bombyx mori (domestic silkworm). RNAcentral describes it as "ovarian small RNA-8137". The record is from RNAcentral. Lineage: Eukaryota; Metazoa; Arthropoda; Insecta; Lepidoptera; Bombycidae.